This 517-nucleotide ribosomal RNA is filed under the name uncultured fungus. RNAcentral's name for it is "SSU rRNA". It matches the Rfam family "Eukaryotic small subunit ribosomal RNA", at positions 214 to 731 of the family's 1831-position model. The record is from RNAcentral. Lineage: Eukaryota; Fungi.
AUUAAAAACCAAUGCCCCUCGGGGCUCUCUGGCGAAUCAUGAUAACUAGUCGAAUCGACAGGCCUUGUGCCGGCGAUGGCUCAUUCAAAUUUCUUCCCUAUCAACUUUCGAUGUUUGGGUCUUGUCCAAACAUGGUGACAACGGGUAACGGAGGGUUAGGGCUCGACCCCGGAGAAGGAGCCUGAGAAACGGCUACUACAUCCAAGGAAGGCAGCAGGCGCGCAAAUUACCCAAUCCCGACACGGGGAGGUAGUGACAAUAAAUACUGAUACAGGGCUCUUUUGGGUCUUGUAAUCGGAAUGAGUACAAUUUAAAUCCCUUAACGAGGAACAAUUGGAGGGCAAGUCUGGUGCCAGCAGCCGCGGUAAUUCCAGCUCCAAUAGCGUAUAUUAAAGUUGUUGUGGUUAAAAAGCUCGUAGUUGAACCUUGGGCCUGGCUGGCCGGUCCGCCUCACCGCGUGCACUGGUCCGGCCGGGCCUUUCCCUCUGCGGAACCCCAUGCCCUUCACUGGGUGUGG